GUGGGGAAUAUUGGACAAUGGGGGGAACCCUGAUCCAGCCAUGCCGCGUGUGUGAAGAAGGCCUUUUGGUUGUAAAGCACUUUAAGCGAGGAGGAGGCUACCGAGAUUAAUACUCUUGGAUAGUGGACGUUACUCGCAGAAUAAGCACCGGCUAACUCUGUGCCAGCAGCCGCGGUAAUACAGAGGGUGCAAGCGUUAAUCGGAUUUACUGGGCGUAAAGCGCACGUAGGUGGCCAAUUAAGUCAAAUGUGAAAUCCCCGAGCUUAACUUGGGAAUUGCAUUCGAUACUGGGUGGCUAGAGUAUGGGAGAGGAUGGUAGAAUUCCAGGUGUAGCGGUGAAAUGCGUAGAGAUCUGGAGGAAUACCGAUGGCGAAGGCAGCCAUCUGGCCUAAUACUGACACUGAGGUGCGAAAGCAUGGGGAGCAAACAGGAUUAGAUACCCUGGUAGUCC
RNAcentral lists this ribosomal RNA (451 nucleotides) under uncultured bacterium. Its description in RNAcentral is "partial 16S ribosomal RNA". It matches the Rfam family "Bacterial small subunit ribosomal RNA", at positions 354 to 796 of the family's 1533-position model. The record is from RNAcentral.